GGNNNGCGCAGCUACACAUGCAGUCGAGCGGCAGCGGAAAGUAGCUUGCUACUUUGCCGGCGAGCGGCGGACGGGUGAGUAAUGUCUGGGAAACUGCCUGAUGGAGGGGGAUAACUACUGGAAACGGUAGCUAAUACCGCAUAACGUCGCAAGACCAAAGAGGGGGACCUUCGGGCCUCUUGCCAUCAGAUGUGCCCAGAUGGGAUUAGCUAGUAGGUGGGGUAACGGCUCACCUAGGCGACGAUCCCUAGCUGGUCUGAGAGGAUGACCAGCCACACUGGAACUGAGACACGGUCCAGACUCCUACGGGAGGCAGCAGUGGGGAAUAUUGCACAAUGGGCGCAAGCCUGAUGCAGCCAUGCCGCGUGUAUGAAGAAGGCCUUCGGGUUGUAAAGUACUUUCAGCGGGGAGGAAGGUGUUGAGGUUAAUAACCACAGCAAUUGACGUUACCCGCAGAAGAAGCACCGGCUAACUCCGUGCCAGCAGCCGCGGUAAUACGGAGGGUGCAAGCGUUAAUCGGAAUUACUGGGCGUAAAGCGCACGCAGGCGGUCUGUCAAGUCGGAUGUGAAAUCCCCGGGCUCAACCUGGGAACUGCAUUCGAAACUGGCAGGCUAGAGUCUUGUAGAGGGGGGUAGAAUUCCAGGUGUAGCGGUGAAAUGCGUAGAGAUCUGGAGGAAUACCGGUGGCGAAGGCGGCCCCCUGGACAAAGACUGACGCUCAGGUGCGAAAGCGUGGGGAGCAAACAGGAUUAGAUACCCUGGUAGUCCACGCCGUAAACGAUGUCGACUUGGGAGGUUGUGCCCUUGAGGCGUGGCUUCCGGAGCUAACGCGUUAAGUCGACCGCCUGGGGAGUACGGCCGCAAGGUUAAAACUCAAUGAAUUGACGGGGGCCCGCACAAGCGGUGGAGCAUGUGGUUUAUUCGAUGCAACGCGAAGAACCUUACCUACUCUUGACAUCCAGAGAACUUACCAGAGAUGCUUUGGUGCCUUCGGGACUCUGAGACAGGUGCUGCAUGGCUGUCGUCAGCUCGUGUUGUGAAAUUGUUGGGUUAGUCCGCAACGAGCGCAACCCUUAUCUUUUGUGCCAGCGUUCGGCCGGGACUCAAGGANACUGCCAGUGAUAACCUGGAGAAAGUGGAG
RNAcentral lists this ribosomal RNA (1141 nucleotides) under Gammaproteobacteria bacterium. RNAcentral's name for it is "bacterial SSU rRNA". It matches the Rfam family "Bacterial small subunit ribosomal RNA", at positions 41 to 1177 of the family's 1533-position model. The record is from RNAcentral. Lineage: Bacteria; Pseudomonadati; Pseudomonadota; Gammaproteobacteria.